UACGUAGGGGGCAAGCGUUGUCCGGAUUUAUUGGGCGUAAAGAGCGUGUAGGCGGCCAUGUAGGUCCGGUGUGAAAACUCGAGGCUUAACCUCGAGAUGUCAUCGGAAACCAUUUGGCUAGAGUCCGGAAGAGGAGAGUGGAAUUCCUGGUGUAGCGGUGAAAUGCGCAGAUAUCAGGAGGAACACCGGUGGCGAAGGCGGGUCUCUGGGCCGAUACUGACGCUGAGGAGCGAAAGCGUGGGGAGCGAACAGG
This 253-nucleotide ribosomal RNA is filed under the name uncultured bacterium. RNAcentral's name for it is "partial 16S ribosomal RNA". It matches the Rfam family "Bacterial small subunit ribosomal RNA", at positions 524 to 776 of the family's 1533-position model. The record is from RNAcentral.